This 339-nucleotide ribosomal RNA is filed under the name uncultured soil bacterium. RNAcentral describes it as "bacterial SSU rRNA". It matches the Rfam family "Bacterial small subunit ribosomal RNA", at positions 26 to 362 of the family's 1533-position model. The record is from RNAcentral.
AGAUUGAACGCUGGCGGCAGGCCUAACACAUGCAAGUCGAGCGGUAGAGAGGUGCUUGCAUCUCUUGAGAGCGGCGGACGGGUGAGUAAUGCCUAGGAAUCUGCCUAGUGGUGGGGGAUAACGUUCGGAAACGGACGCUAAUACCGCAUACGUCCUACGGGAGAAAGCGGGGGACCUUCGGGCCUCGCGCCAUUAGAUGAGCCUAGGUCGGAUUAGCUAGUUGGUGAGGUAAUGGCUCACCAAGGCGACGAUCCGUAACUGGUCUGAGAGGAUGAUCAGUCACACUGGAACUGAGAACACGGUCCAGACUCCCGUACGGGAGGCAGCGAGGUAGGGGAA